CACCGCGGUUACACGGGGGGCCUAAGUUGACAGAUGACGGCGUAAAGCGUGGUUAAGAGCACUCCCACAGUAAAGCGAAACCAUUUCAAAGCAGUUAUACGCGAUUGAAUCAUGAACCCCAACAACGAAAGUGGCUUUAUAAUUCUGACCCCACGAAAGCUAAGAAA
RNAcentral lists this ribosomal RNA (167 nucleotides) under Acanthaphritis barbata (barbel duckbill). RNAcentral's name for it is "partial 12S rRNA". Lineage: Eukaryota; Metazoa; Chordata; Actinopteri; Pempheriformes; Percophidae. The record is from RNAcentral.